This is a non-coding RNA of Leptonychotes weddellii (Weddell seal), 1660 nucleotides long. NCBI's taxonomy places the organism in Eukaryota, Metazoa, Chordata, Mammalia, Carnivora, Phocidae. The record is from RefSeq and is a predicted model, not a curated record.
ACCUGGACGUCAGUUACUUCCGCACACGCGCAAUGGGGCGGCAACCGGUAUUCCGUAAUCUUCCAACCUGUGCAGAGUGAAGUAAGAACGCGGGUUUCGCCCCGAGUCUCUAGGAGAGCUCUGUAACCUGAUGUUUUAGAGGCAUCGCUGGGAGCGUGGCGGUGAAAGGCAGGUAGAGAUCACUGUGUAGGAGUAUGUGCAUCAAGCUGCACCUUUCCUGGUUACAAGAACAUCAUUGGCCCUACCAGAGCCUGCAAAAGGUCUCUGUGUAAGAGCUGCAGAAAAUGAUCAACUUGCAGGGAUCAGUGACAUUCCCGGAUGUGGCUGUGGACUUCACCCCAGAGGAGUGGCAGCUGCUUGACUGUGAGCAGAGAACCUUGUAUUGGGAUGUGAUGUUGGAGAACUUUAGAAACCUCAUCUCAGUGGGCCCUGAGACUCAAGGAGACAGACCUGAAUUGUGAGGUAGUCGUUUGUCUCUAGCACUUGGUCUCCAGUUCUGUGUUGUUUCCCAUGAACAGGGGGCCCAGUUACCCAAACAAAAGCGAUCUUCAAGGCAGAGCAAGGACAAGAGCCAUGGAUGGGGGAGGGGGAGAACCCACGUUGGCGCCAUCCAGGUGAGUGAAAGAAAACCAGGCAGAUGGGAGUCUUUGGAAUUGAGAUUCCAGUCGGUCAGUGAGGGACAGGUCCCUCUGAAGCAGCUCUUUUUUUUAAGGAAGCCCUUCUUAAAAGCCACACAGCUUUGGAAGUGACUGGGUCCACUUGACAUAACAUCGUCAGAUCCCCAGAUGACACCUUCACUCACUCUGCUCGCAUAGCUACUCUUUCUCUUUGCUCAGCUUUUGUGUGGAGGGAGGGCCCUCUCCUCUCUGCCCUGGCUCCCUGCACUGCCUGUUCCAUGGAGGUCCUUGCUUUGUUCUCUUAAUUCCUAAAAUCUUCAUUCUUCUUUUUUUCCUCAACAUGAGCACAGAUCUUUUCCAUACAUCUGGUUCUCGUAAGGUAGUCAGAUUGUGUGGAUUUGAAGUCUUACUCCACCAAUCACUGUCUAACCUAAUUAUUUUGUAGCACAACUUUAUUUAUAAAAGAGGGAUAAUAUUAAUCCUUACUUCAGGUUUCUUUGAAAGAUCACAUGAGUUAAUACAUGUAAAACCCUUCAAAUAGUUGCCAUAUAGUACGUGUUCAGUAUGUUGGUUGUUUUUAUUUCAAAACUUUUAGUAACAUUAUGCUUUCUAAUUAUUUCCCCUUUUCAAAAAAAAACCUCUUCCUUUUCUUGUAGCAUAUACCCCACCUGUGUACCCCAUCUUGCUCAUCUUUAGUCUCACUGCUGACUUGGGGUAUCUACCUUAUAGUGCAUCUCUCUGCUUCACUUGGUAAUACUGAUAUUAUUUGGAAAUUCCCAACAUCAUGUGAGUUGGUUCCUCACAAAUCUGCCCUCACCUUCACUUACGGCUUCCCCACCGUUGCUUCCUGCCUCUGUGUCCACCUUCAGAACUCCUCUCACAGUAACUCCCUCAGAAACUGCAUCCCUCUGAAGAACUAAUGGGAUUUUCUUUGUGCUCUCUGUGGCAUCUGUGCGUCUCCAACUUCCCAUUCCCAUUCUCCAGCUGGGGACCUGGCCUUCAUCUCAGUUUUUUCAUAGUAACCACUAUUUAAUAUUCUUCAA